GGAAUGAUUGGGCUUAAGUGUUUGUAGGUGGCUUUUUAAGUCUGCCAUCAAAUCCUAGGGCUCAACUUUAGACAGGUGGUGGAAACUACCAAGUUGGAGUAUGACAAGGGCAGAAGGAAUUUCCAAUGUAGCGGUGAAAUGCGUAGAGAUUGAAAGAACACCAACGACGAAAGCACUCUGUUGGGCCGGCACCGACACUAAUACUGAGACACGAAAGCUAGAGGAGCGAAUGAGUUUCGACUCUUCGUCUAUUAAUUACAAUAUUAUUUAGUCACGAAGUCAAUCCACUUGAAAUAUCAUGACUGAACUCUCUUUAUUAUAUACCAUUGUGAAAGCAACUUAUUAAGCGCC
Molecule: ribosomal RNA, 351 nt
Organism: Gossypium arboreum
Lineage: Eukaryota; Viridiplantae; Streptophyta; Magnoliopsida; Malvales; Malvaceae
Rfam family: Bacterial small subunit ribosomal RNA
Source: Rfam